AUUGCAAUUACUCCUAAUCCCUAUUAGGGAUUGAAAC
This is a non-coding RNA of Desertifilum sp., 37 nucleotides long. Lineage: Bacteria; Bacillati; Cyanobacteriota; Cyanophyceae; Desertifilales; Desertifilaceae. The record is from Rfam.